UUGCCUGGCAACGUGGCCGCGCGACCACCGUCGUCAUGCCGUUGUUUACCCCACUCGUUCCGUGCUAUACGCCAUCAUACAAUGUCGCAGUAAGUCAUGGUGGACGACCAUUUGCCGCCCUGGGUCUUUACCUCAGUGAGCGCCACGAAAGUCGAGCUCCUGUGACUCACCCUUUCAUCAACAUGAGCUCCCAUUCAUCCAAAUUUGGAGCAACCAUACCCGGCCUUUAUAAAUUGAGCAUUCCCCUUGCUCCGUAUCUCAGUUAUGAACCCAGCGCACCACUCCUCGCCUCAGAUCAUCCACCAUAGCUCGCGAAUUCCAAAUUUUCCCCAAAUCGACCGGAACACCGCCGUGAGGCAUCGCGCCGUGUCCAGCCGUUCUCAGGUCCGUUCACGUCCCUCUGAUCCAUGUUUCUACAUCCUCUGGUGCUAGUGAAACUCUCGGUCUCGGCCAAUUGAACGUACCGCACCGUAGCUUAGGGAACACCGCGUCGUUGUCCGGGAACGCCGCCGUGGUCAUGGCUCAUGUCGACCGGCCAUUCCUUGUUGUCUCCGUCCAGGUUUGCGCGAGCUCCAUUGUCCCAGAAGGUCACUGAUUUGUUCCAAGUCCCUGGAUUGAACGCGACCGACUUAGGUAAACCAGAACGGGCUCACGGGAGCGCUUGUUCUGUGGUUGCCACGAACAGACAUGGCUUAAUGGCAAACCGAUCAAAUUAAGGCCUUGGAUGUGUUCGGGUAGCGUCGGAGAUGAAGCCCAUGUACUCGACACCACCGAAGCAUAUCCCCGCCGGUGAGAAUUCGCGUCUCUGGCCAAGUAUUCGACCGGAGCGUCGUCGAGGACUUGAAUCGUGAAGAAAUAGAAGUGCAGAGGCCUAUAUGUGAUUGUCAGUGAGACAUAGGAAUAGUGUUUAGGGACUCUUUACUGGUUAUUCAAAUGGCAAGGGACCUUUGCGCAAAAUCACAUGCGCGAGCGCGGGCGUGUCCGGAUUCCACGUAGACUUGGGCCAGUUGGGCUGAAUACGGCCAGAUACUAUUCAUGCUUUUAUCGUUUUCUUUUUACUGUCAACUUAGGAAAUUCAUAUAAAAUGGUAGAAAAUUGGUAAAAUUAUGAGAUCAAAUUUGCUAGAUUCCUAAAAUCAAGUAGUAUUUAAUAAAAAUAAUUCCAAGAUUUUUAUCCCAAAGCUGGAAUUGUGUUGCAUUUAAAGGUGCUUAAAUCAAGCCUUUUAGAAUUUUAGAAAUAGUUGAAUAAAUCCAAAAAUCAUAAAACAUUUUGGGUAGGUUUAAUAUCAUGAUUACAGACCUUGAGCGAAGUUUGAAACAAUUUGGGCACUGUUUGACCAGAAACCCAAUAACUAGCUUCAUAGGAUUAAUUACUUAAUACUAAUCCUAAAGGAAUACCUAACUAGAAAACCUUAGUGACUAGUUUGUACCAUGAAGGAAAGUUGUAUUCAAGGGGCAACUUAUUAUAUUUCUAUUGUGUAACUACAUGUUCAUGAUAUAGCAUAAGCAUUCAUGUACAUGUAUUAUCAUGUAUAGAACACGAAGAAGAAACCGAAGUAGAGGAAGAAGUAGUCUCCCAAACUGAGAACCCUCCAAUGGACAACAACUUUUACUUCGACAUCUGCAGUGUGGAAACAUAACCUCAUGCAACACAAGGCAAGCCCCAGUGCAUUAUCCCUUUUUUCCUUAUUGUUUUAAAAUCUUUAUCACCUUAUAUGAUGCAUUAGGUGAUAGAAAUUGUAUGAUAAACAGUUGAUGCAUUUCCUUCCUUGGAAGAUUGGUUAACAUUCCUUGUUUGCAUGUUUUAUUUAAACAAGUUUUCGAAUGCUUAGUCUUGCUAUUGGAAACAAAAGGUUUUGUUUUGAAAAAAGGUGAUGCUUCACAUGGGAUGGGAAUUUUUACAAAGAAAAGGCUGAUGAUGGUGAAUCCAUCAUGGCCAUGAUGGAUUCAACAUCUGGAAAGAAGUACCUCUAUCAGGUACCAAACUUUGGGGUUAAAUGAUAAAGACGAGAUCGGGCGGGUCACUUGCACGAGAAGGAAGUCUCAAUGUAGUGUGCUUGUCUGAGUCGUUUAAGGACCGAGCUGAUGUAGUCCUGCUGAUCGAGGACUUUUUAACUGGCCAUAUGCCUCGUCAAGGGUAAGCUUUACCUCGGUCGGACCAGUACUAGAAAGGCUACCACACAACGAGAGUGGAGAGAUGGCGAGAGUAGAGUGUACCGUCCGUGGCAAGAGGCUGGACAAUGGAGUAUUUGUGCUAUCGGUUGGCGUGAACCCAUUCUGGUCUUAAGAAACCCGGGUGCGAGUUGACAUAUGGAAGGGUUAAGUGCUACAUAUGUCGUGUGGUUGGAGAUCUCCAGCUAGGUAUUAAUCGAUUCUCAUCACCGUUAAUUCUUGGAUAUGAGGACUUGGUCACUGACCUACACAUAGCAACAAGUGAACUGAACGAAUGAUAAAAGAUGGCUAGUAUAGGUCAAGUGCUUGAUCUAGAAUAGAAAGAAAUCUAGAUAUAGGUAACUACUUAACCUAAUAAGUAAACUGAAUUCUUAAGGAUCCACUUAUAGUAAGCUUUUCUGCAAAAAGAGUCUUUGAAUCUUGAUAAGCUUUACCAUGAUUCCCAAAAGCCAUCAUAUCCUUGAGAGUCUUUUUCCUUUGACGGGUAACACUUGUGAAAGUACACUCCGUACUCAGGGUUUUCAAACCCAUAUUUUUGUAGGUGAUGAAACUGCUGAGCUCUGCUGUUUCUGUUCCAAGGUGGUUCCCAAGCAGGAGGAGGAAAACUAAGGCUUACCUGGGAAGGUGUUUUUCCUUCCAGUGAUGUAAUAAUAAGUUUAUACCCGUAUAUGUAAUAAUCAACUCUUUCUAUAUUUUACUUAUGAAUGUGAACUAUGUUAUUGUAAUCCUUUCCGCUUACUACGAUGAUAUGUAAUGCCUGUGUGAUGGAUUAAGCGCUCUUGGGCGGUAUGAUGGAGAUAUAGGAAAUCGGACCUGCCGGGUCAUUGUGCGCACCUUGGGAGAUACAUGAGGUCCUCAGGACAAGGACAUAUGUAGGUGGGCCUAAUACCUUGGGAGGUUCCUGUUGGCACCAAUCUGGACGCCAAUCACUGCGUUGAGAACCAGUGGUGGUGCUCUGUGCACGAGCACGAACGGUCUACGGCCAGGGGCCAGAAGGUCCGCGACCUGGCGCAGCGCUCGGGUUUCCUUCCUGACGGGCUAAACGGUCUGCGCAUGCACAGGGGCGGCAGAGUUCACCGACUGCGCUUGAAUCUCACUCCCGGGAGGGAACCCGUCGGGGAGGAGAGAUCCUAGGUGUUGUCUAGAGUCGGCAUGCCACUCUCGACACCUCUAAUCGACGUAGAGCCGAAGAGAAGCGAAGAAU
Molecule: long non-coding RNA, 3375 nt
Filed under: Zea mays
Lineage: Eukaryota; Viridiplantae; Streptophyta; Magnoliopsida; Poales; Poaceae
Description: long non-coding RNA (ZMAY_LNC000977)
Source: RNAcentral